This 802-nucleotide ribosomal RNA is filed under the name Arthrobacter sp. RNAcentral describes it as "bacterial SSU rRNA". It matches the Rfam family "Bacterial small subunit ribosomal RNA", at positions 51 to 863 of the family's 1533-position model. The record is from RNAcentral. Lineage: Bacteria; Bacillati; Actinomycetota; Actinomycetes; Micrococcales; Micrococcaceae.
ACACAUGCAAGUCGAACGAUGAUCUCCAGCUUGCUGGGGGGAUUAGUGGCGAACGGGUGAGUAACACGUGAGUAACCUGCCCUUGACUCUGGGAUAAGCCUGGGAAACUGGGUCUAAUACCGGAUAUGACCAUUCCACGCAUGUGGUGGUGGUGGAAAGCUUUUGCGGUUUUGGAUGGACUCGCGGCCUAUCAGCUUGUUGGUGGGGUAAUGGCCUACCAAGGCGACGACGGGUAGCCGGCCUGAGAGGGUGACCGGCCACACUGGGACUGAGACACGGCCCAGACUCCUACGGGAGGCAGCAGUGGGGAAUAUUGCACAAUGGGCGGAAGCCUGAUGCAGCGACGCCGCGUGAGGGAUGACGGCCUUCGGGUUGUAAACCUCUUUCAGUAGGGAAGAAGCGUAAGUGACGGUACCUGCAGAAGAAGCGCCGGCUAACUACGUGCCAGCAGCCGCGGUAAUACGUAGGGCGCAAGCGUUAUCCGGAAUUAUUGGGCGUAAAGAGCUCGUAGGCGGUUUGUCGCGUCUGCUGUGAAAGACCGGGGCUCAACUCCGGUUCUGCAGUGGGUACGGGCAGACUAGAGUGCAGUAGGGGAGACUGGAAUUCCUGGUGUAGCGGUGAAAUGCGCAGAUAUCAGGAGGAACACCGAUGGCGAAGGCAGGUCUCUGGGCUGUAACUGACGCUGAGGAGCGAAAGCAUGGGGAGCGAACAGGAUUAGAUACCCUGGUAGUCCAUGCCGUAAACGUUGGGCACUAGGUGUGGGGGACAUUCCACGUUUUCCGCGCCGUAGCUAACGCAUUAA